UGAAAGCGUAAAUGGAAUUGAUGUGAGGGCGUGUUUAGAACCGAGCCAUAUUUAAAAGGUGAUGCACUGGCUGUUGCGGUGGCGGCGGCCCCCAGGUGGGGGACGCUGGAGUCGCCAGGGACGGUCAUUCCUCCCUCCUCCACGGUGGAUCCCACACCAUAUCUGUUUGGGUGCUCUCCGCUCACCCCGAGCAAGUCAUGGUGCCCCGCGCGCGCGGCCGAGGAGUGUGGAGUGGACAGUUGGAGAGCCCGAGACAUGCGUGCCGUUCCCUCGGCACUCGGCAGUCAGCACCGUCUCGUCUGGGCGCUCUCCGCUGUCCGCUCCGCGUUCAUUCCGCGCUCCUUUAAGCUGGGCUGCUGGCACUUGGCAGCACCAGCCGCCGCGCCCAACCCCUCCUCCCAGAUUCCAGCGCCCUGGCCUUGGCCUGCGCCGCGCUGCCCGGAUCGGGACAGCUGCCUGCACCUGCGCCCGCGCGGCUCUGCUGCCAAGUAUAAAUGGCAAGCAGGAGCUCGAUCACACAUCAGACCGGGGGAGAGAGAAUGGGAAUAAAGACCGCACCAGCCUCGGCCACACAUCCACUGCCUAGCUGCAUCUGCAUCCCAUCUUCAGGAUUCCCUUGAUCCUCCUUUUCAUGGAAGAGACAUGCAGCUAUGCUGCGUUUGCCCAAACAAAGAAGAAGGGGUAAAAAGGAAGCCUCGGUACCCUUGUAUCGAGCUGGUACAAUGCUCCUUUACUUGUCACUAUCGCUAACCACAUAUAUACACUGAAAUUGCCAAGGGUGGUAUUUAUAGGCCCUGCUGAUUGCUGAAUCUUAGCGACAGAGAGCAGAGAAAAGUAUGAGAGCGAAAGACAGCAGAGAAAGUAUCGGAGGCACCCACAUUGCAGGACUGGCCAGUGUGGUGAUCCUUUUGUGAAAAAGAGUGAGCAAAUCCCCUGCACGUAGACCUAACCUUUUUUAUGUUUGGACUGAUGAGGAUCAUACAAGUUUCGCGAGUGAUCAGGUCCAGGAGCAGGCCACAGAGGCCUCGUCGUCUGUCCAGAUGGAGGAGAUCUUCUUCACCUGGUUCCCUUGGUUUCGGUAGUGCUCACCAGCUGUGCUCAUUUGUUAGUUAUUGAUCUCUUGCCAAGUUCUUGCUGGGUACAUCCCUCUUGCUGUCGUUGCCAUGUGUUGCUCAGCUCAAGUGGACUCGUCUCUCCUCCAGAUAAUGCUUGUUUUCUUGCAGGGUUGGCGCUGGGGGAGCCGAAUCAGCAGCAAGUGGAUGCAUCAGUCCUGAAAAUAGGGAUUUCCGGUUUUGACUGCUGAAGCUGACAAAACUGCUCUUUUUGGGGUGACUCUAGUCAUGCCUUUUGGCACAUGCAGGACAGCUGAACUGGAGACCUUUUAGUAUAAUAACGGAAAACAUUUCGGUCCUGCAGCACAUGCAACCCUUGUCGUACCAGUGGCUGACCUGGUUCAAUGGUACAGUGGCAACAGGGCCAGAUGAUUAUGGCCACUGGCCUCAUGAUCUCUAAUCAGUAAUCACACGUGCUGAGAUGGGCCGGAUGCACUCCAUUAUUGAUCCCUGGUGCAGAAGAAAACUCCGAUAUCCAUCCAGGUUCAAGAUGCUCGCACGUGUUUGUUAGCAGGCUAUGUGUUUGAGAUUUUGCUUCGGCUUUAGUUGCUUAGAACAUCUGCUAUUUUCUUAAAGUCUUGAUUUGCUUA
Molecule: long non-coding RNA, 1702 nt
Organism: Setaria italica (foxtail millet)
Lineage: Eukaryota; Viridiplantae; Streptophyta; Magnoliopsida; Poales; Poaceae
Exons: 2
Source: RefSeq, a predicted model, not a curated record